UGCUUUGCUGAAGAGGAAGCUAAUCUGAGGCUACAACAAGCUAAGUUGGAAGUGUCUAUACAAAUGCUAAAACAUAAAAAAGAGGCUGCAGCAGCCGUUGCCGAAGCAGAGACACUUGAAGCUGCUGCUGAUGCAAAAAGUGAGAGACAUAGUUGUGACCUGAACAUAGACUCUGUUCCUUUAGAAGCCUCACAACGCACAAAGCAGUAUGUGCUUGAUCAACUAAAAGAAAGGGAUUCAGAAUUUGAGUCAUGUAAAAGUGGUGACAUGCAAGCAAAGACAGGGCCGGUUCCUAAUCAUAACGUGUCACCUCCUCCAUUAAAGCCUGAAGUCAGUCCCAGUGCUUUUCCUACACACCACUUCAGACCACAAAACCACCUCACCCAGCCUCCUCCUGCACGCCAUGCCGUACUGCCAGACUUCCAUGAUGGCAGCUCACACAUAAAUGACUUUGUCAGGUAUCUAGCCCGCCGUGAGCUUGUAGCUACAGGCUUGCUUCAAUUCAAUGACAAACCCCAAAACUACAGAGCAUGGAGGCGUUCCUUUUUGACUACCAUCAGCGGCUUAAACCUGACACAGAGUGAGGAGAUGGAUCUUCUGCUAAAGUGGCUCGGGAAGGAGUCAGCAGAGCAUAUUGAGCAGAUAAGAGCAAUACACAUCAACCGGCCAGAAGCAGGACUGGCCAUGGCAUGGGAAAGGCUCGAGCUAACAUAUGGCUCAGCUGAAGCAAUAGAAAAUGCUCUGUUCAAACGCAUUGACAGUUUUCCAAAAAUAAUAAACCGAGAUGGACCUAAGCUGACAAAGCUGGGUGAUCUACUGAUGGAACUGCAGGCCGCCAAGGCUGAAGGAGACUUACCAGGCCUGGCUUUCCUUGAUACGGCGAGAGGCGUCAACCCAAUUGUACAGAAACUCCCGUCUCGUCUCCAGGACAAGUGGGUGAUAGCUGGUGCAGCCUACAAGAGUCAAAACAAGGUAAACUAUCCUCCCUUUGGUUUCUUUGUCGAUUUUGUCAGCCAGCAGGCUUGCAUUGCAAAUGAUCCAAGCUUCAGCCUCAUCGGCAAUCCAGACACGGCCCCCAGGACAGAGAAGACAGCAUGGAAGCCGAACAGACAGCGGGAAGUCUCCGUCCACAAGACAGAGGUGUCACCCAGAGCCACGUCUGACACGGGUGAGCCUCCAACAAAAUCCGACGACAGCGACAAACUGUGUCUGUUGCAUAAAAAGCCCCAUCCUCUCCGUAAGUGUCGAGCAUUCAGGGAGAAGACCAUUGAUGAGCGCAAAACACUCCUCAAAGAAAACAAUGUGUGCUUUAAAUGUCUUUCUUCCUCGUCUCACAUAGCAAAGAACUGCAGACUCAAUGUCCAGUGUUUGGAAUGUAAGAGCGAUAGGCACAACACAGCGCUUCACCCCGGGCCCGCAGCCUGGCAGCAGGAGGCUGGCCCUGCUUCUGAGCACGGCGGGGAGGAAGAUGCAGCUUCAUCGCAGUCUCAGAUCACCAACAAAUGCACGAAAGUCUGCGGAGGCGAACUCACAGACCGCUCCUGCUCAAAAAUAUGCCUCAUCAAAGUGUUCCCAACUGGCCACAGAGAAAAAGCUGUAAAAUUGUAUGCGAUCAUGGACGAGCAGAGCAACAGGUCGCUGGUUCGCUCACAGUUCUUCGACAUGUUCAACGACCAAAGUCCAAGCGCACCGUACACACUGAGAACAUGUGCUGGAGUGAAGCAAUCAGCUGGUAGGAGGGCCACUGGCUAUGAAGUGGAGUCUCUGGAUGGAACUGUUCGCGUCCCGUUGCCAAGCCUCAUAGAAUGUAACGACAUACCGAACAACAGAGAAGAAAUUCCAACCCCUGAAGUAGCUCUUCAUCAUGAUCAUCUAAGGUCAGUAGCACACCUCAUCCCAGACAUUGACCCGCAAGCUCCUAUUAUGCUUCUCUUAGGACGGGACAUUAUCAGAGUGCAUAAAGUCCGCAAACAGGUGAAUGGCCCUCACAACCUGCCUUACGCGCAGAAGUUAGACCUGGGGUGGGUCAAUGUUGGAAAUGUGUGCCUAGGUAAUGUUCACAAGCCACUGACAAUUAGCACAUUCCACACAAACACCACAGAGCUGCGGCGGCCCACUCUCUUUGAUACGUGCCCCAACGUGUUCCACGUGAAGGAGAGGUUCAGCGACACCCAGGCCACCAGCGAACCUCCAGCGUAUCCUGAGGACCAGCCUACCUGUGAAACCAACCACCUUGGAUGCACGGUGUUCAAGCGGACCAGGGAUGACAAUCAGGUAGCUCCCUCCAUUCAAGAUUCAUUGUUCAUGGAGAUAAUGGAUGGAGGUCUGCAAAAAGACUCAAACAACAGUUGGGUGGCACCAUUACCUUUCAAGAGCCCACGCCCACGGCUCCCUGACAACAGGCCACAGGCGCUGAGGCGUCUCAUGUCUCUCAAGCGUAACUUUGAGAAAAAGCCUGGGAUGAGAGACCACUUUCUUGCCUUCAUGGACAACAUGUUUCGGAACGGUCAUGCAGAGUUAGCCCCCCCGCUCAGCCCGGGUGAAGAAAAGUGGUACUUACUAACGUUCGGGGUGUAUCAUCCAAAGAAACCUAAAAAAAUCCGUGUUGUGUUCGAUUCCAGUGCCCAAUACGACGGCAUAUCACUCAACAACGUGCUGUUAACGGGACCUGACCUGAAUAACACACUUCAGGGAGUGCUGAUCCGGUUCAGAAGAGAGGCCAUCGCCAUCACAGCCGACAUAGAGCAGAUGUUCUAUUGCUUCCGGGUAAGAGAAAAAGACCGUAACUUCUUGCGUUUUCUCUGGUUCCAGAACAACGACCUCUCCAAAGCCAUCGUGGAUUACCGCAUGAACAUCCACGUUUUCGGCAACAGCCCUUCACCUGCAGUGGCUAUUCACGGUCUACACAAGUCGGUCCAAGGCAACGAGUUCCAUGUCGACCCAGAUGUGCAGCACUUCGUGUUGCACGACUUCUAUGUUGAUGAUGGACUGAAGUCCCUACCCACGGUUCAAGCUGCUAUCAGCCUGCUAAAAAGGACACAGGAUGUGCUCUCCAAGUCAAAUCUGAGACUUCACAAGAUUGCAGCGAACAACAACGAGGUCAUGGACGCCUUUCCAUCCAGUGACCACGCGAGUGACCUCAAAGACCUUGACCUCGACGCAGACGAGCUGCCAUUGCAGCGCAGCCUCGGGCUUGACUGGAAUCUCAAGACAGACUGUUUCCUUUUUAAUGUCUCCAGCGCAGCCAAGCCCUACACCCGGCGCGGUGUUUUGUCUACGAUCAAUAGCCUCUACGACCCACUUGGAUUCGUCGCUCCCGUCACGGUCCAAGGCAAGGCUAUCCUGCGAGAGCUCACAGCGGAGAACGGUGACUGGGACGCGCCCUUACCUUCAGCCAUGGAAGAUGCCUGGACGUCAUGGAGAGCCUCUCUGUCCGAGCUCGCUGAGCUUCCCAUCCCAAGGCGCUACACAGAAGCUUCACCAUCAGCAGCGGUAAGAAGAGAACUGUGUGUGUUUUGUGAUGCGUCAGUCAAGGCUAUCGGUGCUGUGUGCUACCUGAAAGUGACAGACAGUAAUGGCAACAACCAGGUUGGAUUUGUAAUGGGCAAAGCCAAGCUGGCCCCCCGUCCUGAACACACAGUGCCAAGACUCGAACUCUGUGCAGCAGUGCUUGCUGUCGAGUUAGCAGACCUGGUCUCUGCAGAACUAGAUCUACAGCUUGAUGAUGUAACCUACUACUCGGACAGUAAAGUAGUCCUGGGCUAUAUUUGCAAUGAGACCAGGCGCUUUUAUGUCUAUGUCAGCAACCGGGUGUUACGCAUUCGAAGAUCCAGCCGACCAGAUCAGUGGCGCUAUGUACCAACAGAUCUGAACCCUGCGGAUCACGCAACACGUUCCAUCCCUGCUGGCCAACUGAAACACACCAAUUGGUUGAGUGGGCCCAAAUUUCUCUCCAAGCCGGAGCCCAGCAUUUCUGACAGCACUUAUGACCUUGUUGACCCGAGCACAGACCCAGACAUCCGCCCUCUGGUGUCUGCCUUAAGCACUACAGCCUCAAACAAACAACUGGAUUCACAACGCUUUGCCAAGUUCUCUACCUGGAAGUCAUUAAUUCGUGCAGUCACUCGCCUCGUUCACAUAGCCUGUCAUUUCAAGACAGCUCACAGAGAGAACGGAGCAUGCAAGGGCUGGCAUUACUGCAAAGCUGAAACAGUUGAGGAAUCAGAGAAAGCAUCGGCUGUGAUCAUCCAAGCAGUUCAACAGGAAGUUUAUAGCCAAGAGAUAAAGUGCAUUCAAAAACAGGAAAAGAUGCCAAAAUCAAGCCCUCUUAGAAAUCUGGACCCGUUCAUUGACACACACGGGCUUCUCAGAGUUGGAGGCCGCCUUCGUCAUUCAAAUCUCGAUCAGAGCGAAAAGACUCCCCUGAUUAUUCCCGGCCAACACCACAUCGCCACCUUGCUCAUUAGACACCACCACGAGCAAAUCCAUCAUCAAGGCCGUCACUUCACAGAGGGGGCGGUCCGUUCAGCUGGCCUUUGGGUAGUUGGAGGGAAGAAAAGAGUAAGCAGCAUCAUCCACCAAUGCAUGACGUGCAGAAGGCUCAGAGCUCCACUCAGCAUCCAGAAGAUGGCAAACCUCCCCGCCGAUCGUCUUUCGACAGACCCGCCGUUCUCCAGCGUGGGUCUUGAUGUGUUUGGUCCAUGGAACGUCUCCUCACGCCGGACCAGAGGCGGCUUCGCUCAAAGUAAAAGGUGGGCAGUGAUCUUUACGUGCAUGAGCAUAAGAGCUGUGCACAUUGAAGUCAUAGAGUCCCUCGACACCUCUAGCUUCAUCAAUGCGCUACGGCGCUUCCUUUCAGUACGUGGGCCGGUCAAACAUAUUCGUUCUGACCGCGGUACCAACUUUAUUGGCGCCUGUAAGGAACUGAAGAUGACCUCGAACAUUGACAGCAUUGCCGUAAAAACCUAUCUCUCAGACAAGGGCUGCACCUGGUCUUUUAAUCCUCCACAUGCAUCCCAUUGGGGUGGAUCGUGGGAGAGAAUGAUAGGGCUGGCGAGGAGGAUUCUGGAUGCAAUGUUCCUCCGGCUGAAAGACAAGCUCACCCAUGAAGUGCUGGUGACCUUUAUGGCAGAAGUCGCAGCGAUCAUCAACGCCAGGCCACUUGUUCCAGUGACAAUGGACCCAGAUGACUCGUUCAUACUCACGCCUGCUGCUCUUCUCACACAAAAGGCAAACUUCGUGCCUGCUCCUGCUGGUGAGUUUGGAGUUGCAGACCUCUACAAAUCCCAGUGGCGGCAGGUUCAGCACCUGUCUAACACCUUCUGGGACCGCUGGAGGAAACAAUUCCUCCCAACACUGCAGGCCCGCAAGAGAUGGCAGUCCGCUCAGCCAAACAUUCCGCCUGGAAGCGUUGUUCUCUUUAAGAACAGCCAAGCACCUAGGAAUGAAUGGCCUCUUGGACUGAUUACACAGGCCUUCCCUAGCAAAGAUGGAAAAGUGCGCCAGGUUGAGGUGAAGAUCAUCAAGCCAGGUGGGACUAGCCUCUUUCUCAGGUCAGUCAAUGAAAUAGUUCUACUUCUACCUCCAGAGGCACAGUAAAUGGACUGUAGAUGGUCUGUGGGUGACGUGUGACCACGUCAGGCGGGGAGUGUUUUGUUAUGAGUGGAAAAAUAUCAUUAAGCUAAUUUUCAGAAGUUAAAUAUGUUUUACUUUUGGCUGUCAAUGCAGAUUCCUAAGGUGUUUCUGUUUUGGUCAUGUUCACGCGAGAUCGCGUUGUUGAAAAAUGUCCUAUGACUUGACCCGUAGUUAGGAAGUAAGCGCUCAACUCACGUAUUUCGGCGAUUUGUUUUAGAUUCAUGCAUAUCCUAUCGCAUCUCUCAACAUCUUGUGUCUGGCAUAGCAUCGUCGUUUCACCUUUUCUCUAACUCCAAUAAACCUGUGGAACGAACUAGAACGAAUCUUCAGAGUCUUGGUGUGGGGAAAAAGUUUAGCUGGCCGUCAGGAUAUUAAUAGACAUAUCGAGGACGGCACAAUAAGAUAAGAUAGGCUUUAUAUUUUCCAUUUUAGUGUGAUUUCUGUAGCAGGGAAACCCCGAGACAGACAUUCUCAAUGUUUUCCAAUUAUGUAAAAUGUGUAGAAUACAUGUUACAUUUCAAAUAUCUCUCAACGGAGAUUUGCGUCAUAAGCUGCGGCACACGUUUCUUGCAGCCCGGCGUAGUGCCAGGCGGGUCGCAGUUGUAAAAAUACCGGUAGGUGUUUGAUGAGCCCUGGAUCCCAAAGGGAAAACGAGAAAGAUAGCUGAGGAGAACAGAGUUCUUGGACCGAACCAUUUGCUUUCAUUGGGGAUACAGUAAAUCGGGCAAAAGACGACUAUUUCUGCCCUGCGAUGGACUGGCGACCCUCUAAGCUGCGCGCCUGGGCCAUCGCGCACAGCAUCUGGCUUCAGAGCGCACAGCAAAUCUAUGCUACGCAGAAAAUAAAAUCCUAGCUGAACUGUAAACAAGAUAAUAAACCAAGUUGUACUAUUUUGCAACUCUGGUGAGACGGUGUUCCGCGGCCCGCUCUGUGAGCGCAGGUGCUGAUCGGAACGCACCGCUAAUUGAUGGGUGGAGCAGAGGCCUUUAUAGUUGGGCAGGUUGCGCUGUGCGUCUUUGUUCUGGACUCCGUGAAAGAAAAAAUACCGAUCUACCCCGUGUAGAAAGCUGCUGCUCUGAGUAGUUCUUCCCCCCUCUGUCAUACUCGGGUUUUUGGUUUCAGAACAGGUAAUAUCAGCCAGGUAACUAAACUCAGUGUUCAACCAACCAUGACUUCAACGCGAGCACGAGAAUUAAAGAAGCCCUGAUCAAUGGAACGCAGAUAAUGUCCUUCACCAUGACAACGACAAGGAAUAAGCCUCAAAGUGCGCAUGAGUGGAAUUAGAAAAUUUUAAUGAAAGCAUAUGGAGAAUAUUUAACCAUAGGAAAUAAUGCUGUUGCUGCUGAAAAGGCGAGUUGGCUUGAUAUGAGAGUUAUUUGUUAC
This is an RNA transcript of Fundulus heteroclitus (mummichog), 7017 nucleotides long. RefSeq lists it as uncharacterized. The transcript is spliced from 2 exons. Lineage: Eukaryota; Metazoa; Chordata; Actinopteri; Cyprinodontiformes; Fundulidae. The record is from RefSeq and is a predicted model, not a curated record.